AAUUUUGGACAAUGGGGGCAACCCUGAUCCAGCCAUCCCGCGUGUGCGAUGAAGGCCUUCGGGUUGUAAAGCACUUUUGGUAGGGAAGAAAAGGCGCCGGAUAAUACCUGGCCCAGCUGACGGUACCUGCAGCAUAAGCACCGGCGAACUCCGAUCCAGCAGCCACGGUAAUACGUAGGGUGCAAGCGUUAAUCGGAAUUACUGGGCGUAAGGCGUGCGCAGGCGGUACGGAAAGAAAGAUGUGAAAUCCCAGGACUUAACCUUGGAACUGCAUUUUUAACUGCCGGGCUAGAGUAUGUCAGAGGGGGGUAGAAUUCCACGUGUAGCAGUGAAAUGCGUAGAGAUGUGGAGGAAUACCGAUGGCGAAGGCAGCCCCCUGGGAUAAUACUGACGCUCAUGCACGAAAGCGUGGGGAGCAAACA
Molecule: ribosomal RNA, 422 nt
Filed under: uncultured bacterium
Lineage: Bacteria
Description: partial 16S ribosomal RNA
Rfam family: Bacterial small subunit ribosomal RNA
Source: RNAcentral